Molecule: ribosomal RNA, 360 nt
Filed under: uncultured bacterium
Lineage: Bacteria
Description: bacterial SSU rRNA
Rfam family: Bacterial small subunit ribosomal RNA
Source: RNAcentral
UCGGAACACAGGUGCUGCAUGGCUGUCGUCAGCUCGUGUCGUGAGAUGUUGGGUUAAGUCCCGCAACGAGCGCAACCCUUGUCCUUAGUUGCCAGCACGUAAAGGUGGGAACUCUAAGGAGACUGCCGGUGACAAACCGGAGGAAGGUGGGGAUGACGUCAAGUCCUCAUGGCCCUUACGGCCAGGGCUACACACGUACUACAAUGGUCGGUACAGAGGGUUGCAAUGCCGUGAGGCGGAGCCAAUCCCAGAAAGCCGAUCCCAGUCCGGAUUGGAGUCUGCAACUCGACUCCAUGAAGUCGGAAUCGCUAGUAACCGCGGACCAGCUAUGCCGCGGUGAAUACGUCCCGGCCUUGUACA